ACUUAGAUAGUUUAACUUAAAACUCUUCAUUUUCAAUGAAAAAAUAGAUAGAAUCUUGUAAGUU
Molecule: transfer RNA, 64 nt
Filed under: unidentified
Description: Iphicrates gressitti tRNA-Glu
Rfam family: tRNA
About the family: Transfer RNA (tRNA) molecules are approximately 80 nucleotides in length. Their secondary structure includes four short double-helical elements and three loops (D, anti-codon, and T loops). Further hydrogen bonds mediate the characteristic L-shaped molecular structure. tRNAs have two regions of fundamental functional importance: the anti-codon, which is responsible for specific mRNA codon recognition, and the 3' end, to which the tRNAs corresponding amino acid is attached (by aminoacyl-tRNA synthetases). tRNAs cope with the degeneracy of the genetic code in two manners: having more than one tRNA (with a specific anti-codon) for a particular amino acid; and 'wobble' base-pairing, i.e. permitting non-standard base-pairing at the 3rd anti-codon position.
Source: RNAcentral